RNAcentral lists this ribosomal RNA (253 nucleotides) under uncultured bacterium. Its description in RNAcentral is "partial 16S ribosomal RNA". It matches the Rfam family "Bacterial small subunit ribosomal RNA", at positions 524 to 776 of the family's 1533-position model. The record is from RNAcentral.
CACGUAGGGCGCAAGCGUUGUCCGGAAUUAUUGGGCGUAAAGAGCUCGUAGGCGGUCUGUUACGUCUGCUGUGAAAACCCAGGGCUUAACCCUGGGCUUGCAGUGGAUACGGGCAGACUAGAGGCAGGUAGGGGAGAAUGGAAUUCCCGGUGUAGCGGUGAAAUGCGCAGAUAUCUGGAGGAACACCGGUGGCGAAGGCGGCAUCCUGGACCGGUAUUGACGCUGAGGCGCGAAAGCUAGGGGAGCAAACGGG